UGGGCGUUAAGUUGCAGGGUAUAGACCCGAAACCCGGUGAUCUAGCCAUGGGCAGGUUGAAGGUUGGGUAACACUAACUGGAGGACCGAACCGACUAAUGUUGAAAAAUUAGCGGAUGACCUGUGGCUGGGGGUGAAAGGCCAAUCAAACCGGGAGAUAGCUGGUUCUCCCCGAAAGCUAUUUAGGUAGCGCCUCGUGAAUUCAUCUCCGGGGGUAGAGCACUGUUUCGGCUAGGGGGCCAUCCCGGCUUACCAACCCGAUGCAAACUGCGAAUACCGGAGAAUGUUAUCACGGGAGACACACGGCGGGUGCUAACGUCCGUCGUGAAGAGGGAAACAACCCAGACCGCCAGCUAAGGUCCCAAAGUCAUGGUUAAGUGGGAAACGAUGUGGGAAGGCCCAGACAGCCAGGAUGUUGGCUUAGAAGCAGCCAUCAUUUAAAGAAAGCGUAAUAGCUCACUGGUCGAGUCGGCCUGCGCGGAAGAUGUAACGGGGCUAAACCAUGCACCGAAGCUGCGGCAGCGAACGUAUCACCCAAGACAACUUUACGGAGUUGACGAUUGACGGAGCGAAGCGACGUCAAAGCGUUCAUUAAAGUCGAGUUGGCUUAGGGAUACGUUCGUUGGGUAGGGGAGCGUUCUGUAAGCCUGUGAAGGUGUGUCGUGAGGCAUGCUGGAGGUAUCAGAAGUGCGAAUGCUGACAUAAGUAACGAUAAAGCGGGUGAAAAGCCCGCUCGCCGGAAGACCAAGGGUUCCUGUCCAACGUUAAUCGGGGCAGGGUGAGUCGACCCCUAAGGCGAGGCCGAAAGGCGUAGUCGAUGGGAAACGGGUUAAUAUUCCCGUACUUGGUGUUACUGCGAAGGGGGGACGGAGAAGGCUAUGUUGGCCGGGCGACGGUUGUCCCGGUUUAAGCGUGUAGGUGUGUGUUCCAGGUAAAUCCGGUUCACUUUAACACUGAGGCGUGACGACGAGGCACUACGGUGCUGAAGCAACAAAUGCCCUGCUUCCAGGAAAAGCCUCUAAGCAUCAGGUAACAUCAAAUCGUACCCCAAACCGACACAGGUGGUCAGGUAGAGAAUACCAAGGCGCUUGAGAGAACUCGGGUGAAGGAACUAGGCAAAAUGGUGCCGUAACUUCGGGAGAAGGCACGCUGACACGUAGGUGAAGUGAUUUACUCAUGGAGCUGAAGUCAGUCGAAGAUACCAGCUGGCUGCAACUGUUUAUUAAAAACACAGCACUGUGCAAACACGAAAGUGGACGUAUACGGUGUGACGCCUGCCCGGUGCCGGAAGGUUAAUUGAUGGGGUCAGCGCAAGCGAAGCUCCUGAUCGAAGCCCCGGUAAACGGCGGCCGUAACUAUAACGGUCCUAAGGUAGCGAAAUUCCUUGUCGGGUAAGUUCCGACCUGCACGAAUGGCGUAAUGAUGGCCAGGCUGUCUCCACCCGAGACUCAGUGAAAUUGAACUCGCUGUGAAGAUGCAGUGUACCCGCGGCAAGACGGAAAGACCCCGUGAACCUUUACUAUAGCUUGACACUGAACAUUGAGCCUUGAUGUGUAGGAUAGGUGGGAGGCUUUGAAGUGUGGACGCCAGUCUGCAUGGAGCCGACCUUGAAAUACCACCCUUUAAUGUUUGAUGUUCUAACGUGGACCCGUAAUCCGGGUUGCGGACAGUGUCUGGUGGGUAGUUUGACUGGGGCGGUCUCCUCCUAAAGAGUAACGGAGGAGCACGAAGGUUGGCUAAUCCUGGUCGGACAUCAGGAGGUUAGUGCAAUGGCAUAAGCCAGCUUGACUGCGAGCGUGACGGCGCGAGCAGGUGCGAAAGCAGGUCAUAGUGAUCCGGUGGUUCUGAAUGGAAGGGCCAUCGCUCAACGGAUAAAAGGUACUCCGGGGAUAACAGGCUGAUACCGCCCAAGAGUUCAUAUCGACGGCGGUGUUUGGCACCUCGAUGUCGGCUCAUCACAUCCUGGGGCUGAAGUAGGUCCCAAGGGUAUGGCUGUUCGCCAUUUAAAGUGGUACGCGAGCUGGGUUUAGAACGUCGUGAGACAGUUCGGUCCCUAUCUGCCGUGGGCGCUGGAGAACUGAGGGGGGCUGCUCCUAGUACGAGAGGACCGGAGUGGACGCAUCACUGGUGUUCGGGUUGUCAUGCCAAUGGCACUGCCCGGUAGCUAAAUGCGGAAGAGAUAAGUGCUGAAAGCAUCUAAGCACGAAACUUGCCCCGAGAUGAGUUCUCCCUGAGACUUAGAGUCUCCUGAAGGAACGUUGAAGACGACGACGUUGAUAGGCC
Molecule: ribosomal RNA, 2282 nt
Filed under: Salmonella enterica subsp. enterica serovar Typhimurium
Lineage: Bacteria; Pseudomonadati; Pseudomonadota; Gammaproteobacteria; Enterobacterales; Enterobacteriaceae
Description: partial 23S ribosomal RNA
Rfam family: Bacterial large subunit ribosomal RNA
Source: RNAcentral